This 510-nucleotide ribosomal RNA is filed under the name uncultured bacterium. RNAcentral describes it as "partial 16S ribosomal RNA". It matches the Rfam family "Bacterial small subunit ribosomal RNA", at positions 28 to 507 of the family's 1533-position model. The record is from RNAcentral.
GACGAACGCUGGCGGCGUGCUUAACACAUGCAAGUCGAACGAAGAGCGAUGGAAGCUUGCUUCUAUCAAUCUUAGUGGCGCACGUGUGUGUAACGCGUAAUCAACCUGCCCUUCAGAGGGGGACAACAGUUGGAAACGACUUCUAAUACCGCAUACGAUCUAAUCUCGGCAUCGAGGAUAGAUGGACGGUGGCCUCUACAUGUAAGCUAUCACUGAAGGUGGGGAUUGCGUCUGAUUAGCUAGUGGGGGGGGUAACCGCCCACCAAGGCGAUGAUCAGUAGCCGGUCUGAGAGGAUGAACGGCCACAUUGGGAAUGAGACACGGCGCAGACACCUACAGGAGGCAGCAGUGGGGAAUAUUCCGCAAUGGACGAAAGACUGACGGAGAAACGCGGCGUGAGUGAUGACGGGCUUCGGGUUGUAAAGCUCUGUUAAACGGGACGAAAGGCCUUCUUGCGAAUAGUGAGAAGGAUUGACGGUAACGGAAUAGAAAGCCACGGCUAAAUACGUG